Molecule: long non-coding RNA, 875 nt
Organism: Rosa rugosa (rugosa rose)
Lineage: Eukaryota; Viridiplantae; Streptophyta; Magnoliopsida; Rosales; Rosaceae
Exons: 3
Source: RefSeq, a predicted model, not a curated record
UUGUGUCAUAUAAAAGCUAUUAUUAUAUCUGGUUUCUUUCUUCUGAAUCCAAUGGUAUUAUCAGGAGAAGAUUCUGAGCAAAAUGCUUCAAUUGCAACUGAUCGAUCCAAUGGGGAUCGGGACCUAUAUAUUUUGUACUGUUCUUGAGCUUCAGAUCAAUGAUCAGUGCUUUAAGGAUGCAGAAGAAAUGGAGCAUGACAAUGACAGUUUAUGGCCUUGAUCUUCUUUCUCCUAUCAAUAUUUCAUCAUCAAACCUUUCGCCCCAUUUAUGGGAUACUGCGCGGAGUCAUCUCAUUUAUGAAAGAAAAUGCCUGGUUCCCCUGGCAAAUUAAGGAAAAUAUAUAAAUUAACCUAUAUCGGACAUUUUUCAUUUUCCAAUUUUUGUUUUUAUAAAACUUCACUUCCAUGUCUCUUCUUUGCCUGUGUAAGGCAAUAAGAGUGGAUGACCUGUUAGCCUACUGCGUGUGUUUAUGAAAUGCACAUAAUCUGCCGGUGUCGGUAAUCUCUCUAAAACUAAAUCUAAUACAUCCUUAGGCAGCUUUGCCCAAUCCAGGGAGUCCAUAAUUUGAAAACCUUGAAAAAAAAUUUGAUCGAAUAAUCUCAAGUUGUUAAAUCCGAGAUUAGCUUUUUCUUCUUGGCCUUUAGAGUUCUUGAUUUAUGUGAAGCAAAUUCCUCCCUCUCUAUAUUUAUAUAAACGUCCUUUACUAGUAGUUCAAAACUUGUCUCCCAAUAAGAACGAGCUAGGAAACCCGUUCCCCAUUCCCAGUAGGAAUGGGUACUGCCAGUCCAUUUGAUCUUCCAAAAGGAGAUUUCUCCUUUUUUAAUUGGGUAAGACAUCUCUUCUAUGUGAUACGUGGCUUUCGUGUAGAUUAAAG